This 66-nucleotide transfer RNA is filed under the name Willemoesia forceps. Its description in RNAcentral is "tRNA-Leu". Lineage: Eukaryota; Metazoa; Arthropoda; Malacostraca; Decapoda; Polychelidae. The record is from RNAcentral.
UCUAAAAUGGCAGACAGAGUGCUUAGGAUUUAAGCUCCUACAAGGAAGGUUCACCUUCUUUUAGAA